GCUUCGGGCUGCCUCUUUGUCCAAAAGCCUUGUUUCUGAAAGCUAGUCUCUGAAUGAGCAGGUAGAAGAAAAAGACCUCUCUAGUUCUGAGAAACAAAAAGCAUAGAAUAAACUUUAUUCCAAAAGAGAUAUCGAAAAGAUGGGUUCAAAGCAAAGUUACGUUACUAACUCGACUGUUCUUCCAUAAUUUCCAAAUCUUCCUCCUCCAAGGCAGGCUCUCCAGCCAAGCUGUAGCCGGAUGUGUUCAGAGCCCUCAGCCCACGAGAAUUUAGACUCGAUCUUCUUCCUGUGGGGGCUUCUCAACUUUUCCAAGCCAGGCAGUGAGAAUGGAUACAAGGCUGGUGACAGCACUGGGCCCACGGGGUAUGGGGCUGGCGCCCACUGGUGUCCCCAGGGAGACCCGCAGUCCAAGGGAUUCAGCAUGGGUCCCAGCCGCGAGCUGGCUGGGGCAGCUGACAGGAAGGGGCUGAGUGGGCAGCGGGAUAUGAAUGGAAACCCCAGGCCGACACCAGCCUGGCUCCCUUGGGGGAGCUGGGGCUGGCCUUGAUGCCCACGCACAGCCUGCCCAGACACCAACCAAGAGCUCUGCUGUGGGCAGAGGGGCCAUGGAAGCUGUCCUGAGCACUGAACUCUGUCAGGCCACCUUGAAGAUCCGACCAAACAGCAUGCUGGGAGAGCUACGCAUUCCUAAGCCCAGCUUCUUGGGCCAGACAGACACCAGAGGCUGUUGUUGUUCCCUAGAGAGAGAUGCAACAUGUGAAUCAGCCUUGCAUUGCCAGGACCACACAGCCCUGGGACUCAUCUUGGUGGCACUCAGCCCACUAGAGGCAGCCGUCCUGUGCUGAACUCAGCAGGUCUCAUCGUGAGCCGCAGAAGGGACUACGUCUCGGGACUUCCAGUACGUACCUGCUGAGGGCUUGAGGAGACAGCGUCACACUUCACGAAGGGCCUGGGCCUCUCUGACCCCAUCCAGAGCCCCACUGGCUGCCUCCACUAAGCGUCAAGUGGUUCCAAGGCCAGGGCCGGUCUCCAGUGGGAGGCACUCGAGAACCGGGCACUCAGCUGGGAGAUUCAGAGGAAUGACCUGGCCAGUCACCAUGUAAUCCACGCCACACGCCACAUCCCCAGCUCCCCAGGCAUCGUAACCUGAAAAACAAGGCCCAGCCCACGGUGAGGGAACGUGGCUGGCUAGGAGGCAGACGGGCAUGGAGCCCAGCUGGGCCUGGUCCCGGCUCUGCUUCUUGGUAGGGGACUGCCCCAUCUCUGACCUGGCUCCUCCCCUGGAAGAGGGGAUGCUUAUACCUGCCUGGCAGGUCUGCUGGGACAAGUAAACGCCAUCACUGUAGGAAGG
Molecule: long non-coding RNA, 1351 nt
Filed under: Equus caballus (horse)
Lineage: Eukaryota; Metazoa; Chordata; Mammalia; Perissodactyla; Equidae
Description: lncRNA (ENSECAG00000056328.1)
Source: RNAcentral